AGGACGAACGCUGGCGGCGUGCUUAACACAUGCAAGUCGAGCGGAAAGGCCCUUCGGGGUACUCGAGCGGCGAACGGGUGAGUAACACGUGAGUAAUCUGCCCUUAGCUCUGGGAUAGCUCCGGGAAAACCGGGAUUAAUACCAGAUAUGACCACUUUAGACAUCUUUUGUGGUGGAAAGAAUUUCGGCUGGGGAUGAACUCGCGGCCUAUCAGCUUGUUGGUGAGGUAAUGGCUCACCAAGGCGACGACGGGUA
This 255-nucleotide ribosomal RNA is filed under the name uncultured bacterium. Its description in RNAcentral is "partial small subunit ribosomal RNA". It matches the Rfam family "Bacterial small subunit ribosomal RNA", at positions 26 to 285 of the family's 1533-position model. The record is from RNAcentral.